GAUGAAGAACGUAGUGAAAUGCGAUACUUGGUGUGAAUUGCAGAAUCCCGUGAACCAUCGAGUCUUUGAACGCAAGUUGCGCCCGAAGCCAUUAGGCCGAGGGCACGCCUGCCUGGGCGUCACACGUCGUUGCCCCCCCAUCUACUCCUUCGGGAUUGCGGGGGGCGGAUGAUGGCCUCCCGUGCGCCUCGUCGCGCGGUUGGCAUAAAUGCCAAGUCCUCGGCGACGCACGCCACGACAAUCGGUGGUUGCGAAACCUCGGUUGCCCGUCGUGUGCGGUCGUCGCGCAUCGAGGGCUCGAAAAAAUUGUCGGGCUCCGGCUCGGCUUUCAACGCGACCCCAGGUCAGGCGGGGUUACCCGCUGGAUUUAAGCAUAUCAAUAAGCGGAGGA
This 391-nucleotide unclassified non-coding RNA is filed under the name soil metagenome. RNAcentral describes it as "partial contains 5.8S ribosomal RNA, internal transcribed spacer 2, and large subunit ribosomal RNA". The stretch from base 1 to 122 matches the Rfam family "5.8S ribosomal RNA", at positions 35 to 154 of the family's 154-position model. The record is from RNAcentral.